UCAAAAGCUGCAGUAAGGUUGAGCAAAACAAACCCAGCGCACCUACAACUCCGGCACUGGUGCAACAUGGACCCUGGAUGCGGCAGCGGCAGAAGAGACAAGCCAGAUUUCGGUUGAGGACGUAUCCCCCGCCACCACUACGGGCCUUCGAGAUCUCAACCGAGAACUGCUUCGCCCCUCUCCGCGAGACGGAACGCGACACUGUGAUUCUCGGAGAUUCCAUCGUCCGGUACCCGCGUUUCUGAACGAGAACUUCGGAGCGGUUGUUCUUCAUGCUGGAGCGAACGACACCAGGCUGAGGCAAACAGAGAUCUUAAAGAGGGAUUUCAGGAUCCUGGUGGAGACGGUACGCAGCACAUCGCCCACAACGAGGA
This is a long non-coding RNA of Silurus meridionalis, 374 nucleotides long. RefSeq lists it as uncharacterized. Lineage: Eukaryota; Metazoa; Chordata; Actinopteri; Siluriformes; Siluridae. The transcript has 3 exons. The record is from RefSeq and is a predicted model, not a curated record.